CGACGGCGGCGGAGACGUCUUCUGUACUGCGAGCUCCACCAUCCCUACACAUACUGUACUGCGAGCUCGACGACGACAGUGGCGUCUUCUUGGCAGGUUAAGCUUCCCUCCUUCAAUUCCCCUCCAUGAUUUAUGUGUCAAAACUGAUUUUUUUACUGAAAUUUGCUGCUUCUGACAUUUGCUUAAGACUGCAUGCCGGCCAACUGGUAUUUCUUCAGUUAGCAAAACAUGGCAGACAAAUCUCACUAGGGGAUCACACUUGGCCUGACCACAUCUGUGUGUAACUAGGGGAUCACACUUGGGGACACAAUGGGCUAAUUGGCUAAUUUCUUCAGCAGCUCAUCCUAUUUUUACCUAAUUGGCUGCAACCUCAGUCUCACUAGGGCAUCACACUUGGCCUGACAACAUCUGUGUGUAAACUAGAAAUUCUAGCUUAGACUGAAACUUGAACAACUGAAUUUAUGCAUUUCAACUAGCAAAUGUGAGAUAAGAGUGAACAUUUAUUCUCAACUAGCAAAUGUCAGAUAAAUCAAAUUACUAAUUAGUUUUAGUGAUGGAUCUAGCAGGAUGAGUCAGUGAUUAAAAUCAUCCAUGAAUGAAUUAGUUAGAGGGCAGCCAACAGUACUUAGUGUACUACUGCUGCUGUCUAGUGCUCCUUUCAUGACAGAGGUAGAUAAAUGGAGUACUCCUUUUCAAGUAAUUUUGUCAUUUGUUUCAUGAUGUGGCAAGUAAUUUUGUCAUUGUUUCAGACUGCAAUCAAGUGUUUUUUCAUUAUUUCAAAAUGCUUCAGACUGCUAGAUUCAAGUUCUGCUGAAACUGAAAAAAGGAAAAAAAAAAACCACACCUGAAUAAUUUUCGAGUUCAGAACCACACAUUUUAUCAUUCUACUUCCAGGAAUUGAACAUUUUGCAUUGUUGGACUGACAGGAGUAGAAAAAUUGGAGUACACAGUGUACUGAGUUUUCAAUCCUUGAUUGUUGUACUGGCAUGAAGCAAUAGAAAUGGCUGCCAUGGCACCAUUUCGAGAAAUAAGUGUAUAGUGUCAAAAUAUUCAUGUGAUUUCAAACUCGUGGCCAAACUGUUGUACAUUAUGUUUUCGGUAAGGAGCUCAAGUUCUUAACACUUAAUCAAAUUAGAUACAGUCUUGGCAUUUUUCUGUUUGUACACCGAAUCAAAUUACUCUUGGUUGUAGCUAAGCUACCAUCAAAUUUUUCUUACUCCAUCAAAUUACUCUUGGCUGUAGCUCCCAGACAGAAUUAAGCGAAUCGGAAUUACUAUUGUAAAUAAAUCCAAGAUUGUUUAGAAUAAGAUACUGAUUGACAUACAUCAGAAUGAUACUAUUGGAGCAUUACUAGAGUAAUUUGUUGUUCCUCAUUUUGAAUGAGUGGUUAUACUGCUGUCAAAACUACUCCAUACACACACUGUCAAACUGACAAGAUGGUGGUGGAGGUGGGAAUAAAUGUUCCAGCACAUCUGCUGGAGUAGAAAAUAAAUGUGUGUAGUUUGCUCCACAGCAACCACACACACUGUGAAAACUGACAAUAUGUUAUACUGUUGUCAAAACUGAAAACUGUUGUCAUUUUAACUAAAUUCAAAUAAAUCCAAAUACUUCUAUCCUUUCUCAUUGAACACAUGACACAAUACAUACACAUGACACAAGCCAUACACAUGACACAACACAUACACAUGACACAUGACACAUCACAUACUCCUAUCCUUUCUUUUCCUUUUCCCUUUCCCUUUCUUUUUUCCUCUCUCUAACUACUCAUUUGCUUGUUCUAUAAUGGCCUUGUUGUCAGUAAUUAGCUCAGGACUGUAGUAUACACCGAUUAUUUCCUCUCCAACAUUCUGUAGAUGUUCCUUAUGCAGAUGCGGCAUCUUGUAAUUGUUUCCUCCUUGAUCUUUCAUCACUUCCACCAUGACUGCUUGCAACAUCAUAAAGCUUUUGAACAGCUUAUGGGCAUCGUAGUUCUCAAACUCCUCCUCUACACCCUGUACCAGUUCCUGUAUAUUCAUAGGCGCUCUGCAGUCGGUUAGGGAUUGGAGGGAGCAGUGGAAAUAAUGAUCUAGAACAUUGAGCUCAGGGCUGUUCAGUGGUUGUUGCAAUAGUCGAAUAUCCAGAUCUAUCUGUGCCACGGCUUCUAGAAAACCAGCAUCAUUAGGGAGGACAUGCGGUGUUGCAUUAUCUUGUUGAAUGAAGAUCGUUGUGUCCUCGUCACCGUCAGGCCAUUUGUCUUGAAUGGCAGGGAUUACUUUAUUGAUCAGGUAAUCUCUGCACACAGGUCUAGUAACUUUGACCAGCCUCAACUCUAUUGUCCCCUAUCUCUGUUGUGGCUUGUUCGUUGCGUCUCGGUCUCUACCACGAACGGCCAAAUGCUAAGCUUUCCAUCAAAUGUCAUCUCCCCAUCUUCAUUGUAGCGAGGUUUGGCCACAGCUGUUAGAAACAUUACCUUCCCAAUGCUAUGAGUAUUGUGCACAGUUCGAUUUGGUUGUUCUUCUCCAGGCAGUACGUAGUAGCUACUCUUCACUCGGGUCAUGUCAUACCAUUUCUCAUCGAUGUGGACCAUAUUUGUCAUUGGCUUGAAACUAGGCCAAGGACUUGAUAUCCAUCUUUCAUCCAUCAUGGAUAGGCAGAACUUUAGUCUCGCUAUCUUGUUAUGUGGCUUGAGGGUGGGUUUGAUGGUGCUCGUGAUGCGUUUCAACUCUUGCAACUGAAAUUGGUCAUGUAGGGUUGAUCGGGGAACACCUAAACACCUUGCAAGAGAACAGAUUGUUCUUCUUUUGUUCAAAGGGAUUGUAGCUGUUCUCGACAGAUCUAGUUCUUUCCUCUUCCUACCAUUGUUAUUCUUCUUGCUUGAAACAUCAACUUCUUGGCCUGCUGCAAGUUGUCUUUUGGCUAGAUUCCAUAUUCUUGUAACUGUUCGUAGGUGAACAUUCAGCAUAGUCGCAAUGAGCACCCUGUCAUACAGGUGAACUUGUCCAUCUCUAAGCUCGAUUACUCGCAGAGCAAAGUAAACACCAUAUCUCUCCUUGUCUGUCAGGUCCUUCCCUCUUGGGUUGCCUUGUGCAUCAGCUUCUUGAGCUUCUCCCACUUUUGCAUCUUCUUGUGCCUCUUGAGCUUCUUCCACUAAUGCAUCUUCUUGUGCCUCCUGAGCUUCUUCCACUAAUGCAUCUUCUUAUACCUCUUGAGCUUCUUCCUCUUCAGGAAACCAAUUCAAUUCAAUGUCUUCAUCCUUCUCUUCCGGGAUCAAGUUAAAAUCAAAAGUGCCACCUUGCUGAGCUUGUUCUUCUUGUUGAGCUUCAUCCUCCUCUUCCGGGAUCAAGUUCAAAUCAAUAGUGCCACCUUGCUGAGCUUGUUCUUCUUGUUGAGCUUCAUCCUCCUCGUUCAAAUCCAUAGUUGUGUGCUCCUGUCUGAUCUCAUAACAAGAGUAUACACAAAGAUGAAUUGUUAGCAUAUAAUCAUAACAAGAAAACCAUGAAGAAUCCUAGACAAAAAGCAAAGAAACCAAGAAAGGGAAAAGUAGAGAUUAAAAGUACUCCUUGUUCAUUUUGGUAACUAGAGGAACAUGAUGGCCCUCCUAUUCCUGAGCAAUGAUUACUGGACACAUGAUUACUGGACACAUCAUGAGCAACGACCUAUUAGAUCAUCUCCAUUUUUAUUUUUAUUGGUCUUUUUAACAGUUUUCAGUAGCACACCAUGACACUAUUUGCACAAAACAGAGCUCACUGAAAAGUAAGACUAUGAUCAACAUCAAACUACUCCUUGACAAGCAGUGAUCACUACUGAACACGAUCAUAUUCUAGUACAUCAAACUGACUUUUUUGUAAUCUUAUUCUGAGAGAUUAAAAGUAGAUGGUCAUUCCUUAAAGAAACAUGACACACCAAAAUUCAGAGGAACAUCCCCAAGCCCCUAUUCUUAUUCUUAUUCUGUAAUCUUAUUUACUCACUGAAUUUUCAUUCUGUAAUCGUUUCCUUGUGACCUCCAAUUCUAAACCCUGAUUAAUACUGCAUGCAGGCAAAAUUCCUAACUGUUGGAGUAGCUUCGUCAUAAGCCUGAAAUGCAACUUGGUAAAUCUUGUCACCUGUGUAAAUUGUUUAGAAAUGUUCAUUCAGAGAAUUUGUUGGUACUCUUUGCUUGUGUUGAAUAACAAGAAGAUUUUUCCCAUUUUACUUGUGUUGAAUAACCUGUGAACAAAAUUCAGGUUCCAACAGAGCAUGCAUGACCUGUGAACAAAAUUCCCAUUUUACUUGGGUUCUGCAUGAUGUUGGGAAGAUGCAUAAUUCCGGUAUUCGUUUGUGCUGUGCAUUUUUAUCAAUAAAGUUUGCAUACUCCAUGUGUGUUCACUGAAUUUUCAUCAAUAUGCAGUGUAUGUCCACUUAUUUUGAUUUUGCAAUGAUCAUCAUCAUUCUCAGUUUUUGUAUAACAAGAAAUACUCCUGAAUUUCUUCAAUACUGGAGUACUGAAUGUUUUCAGUUUUUGCAAGAAAUAACAUUGGAGUAUGUUUCAGUUUUCACUUUUCUUCAACACUGAACACCUAUUGGAUGAUCUACACACUUAAUGCAUCAAUUUAGAGUAAGAUGAACCUGACAUUGACAUUUGGUGUCUAUUUUGAACCUGACAAUGAACCUGACAUUAACAGUCAACCUGACAUUUAACAGGAGGACAAUUGGACAACAGGAGAACAAUUGGACAACAUCAUCAGGAGGUUAGCAACCAACACGAACUGCAACACGAAAUUUCAGGAUAAUCGGGAGGACAGCAACAAUAAAUUUCAGGAUCACAAAGAGUUCAGUGGAGGCGGGGGCGGGGACGGGGAUUGGAGUACCAACCGUCCGCAAUAGUGGUGGGGUGGGGGG
This 4857-nucleotide long non-coding RNA is filed under the name Triticum aestivum (bread wheat). Its description in RNAcentral is "long non-coding RNA (TAES_LNC000243)". The record is from RNAcentral. Lineage: Eukaryota; Viridiplantae; Streptophyta; Magnoliopsida; Poales; Poaceae.